Molecule: ribosomal RNA, 465 nt
Filed under: uncultured Klebsiella sp.
Lineage: Bacteria; Pseudomonadati; Pseudomonadota; Gammaproteobacteria; Enterobacterales; Enterobacteriaceae
Description: bacterial SSU rRNA
Rfam family: Bacterial small subunit ribosomal RNA
Source: RNAcentral
CCUACGGGCGGCUGCAGUGGGGAAUAUUGCACAAUGGGCGCAAGCCUGAUGCAGCCAUGCCGCGUGUGUGAAGAAGGCCUUCGGGUUGUAAAGCACUUUCAGCGGGGAGGAAGGCGUUAAGGUUAAUAACCUUGGCGAUUGACGUUACCCGCAGAAGAAGCACCGGCUAACUCCGUGCCAGCAGCCGCGGUAAUACGGAGGGUGCAAGCGUUAAUCGGAAUUACUGGGCGUAAAGCGCACGCAGGCGGUCCGUCAAGUCGGAUGUGAAAUCCCCGGGCUCAACCUGGGAACUGCAUUCGAAACUGGCAGGCUAGAGUCUUGUAGAGGGGGGUAGAAUUCCAGGUGUAGCGGUGAAAUGCGUAGAGAUCUGGAGGAAUACCGGUGGCGAAGGCGGCCCCCUGGACAAAGACUGACGCUCAGGUGCGAAAGCGUGGGGAGCAAACAGGAUUAGAUACCCGAGUAGUC